CGUUGGUUAGCUCAGCAGGCAGAGCAUCAGGCUGUGAACCUGAGAGUCGCGGGUUCGAAUCCCGCACCAACUU
This 73-nucleotide transfer RNA is filed under the name Candidatus Lindowbacteria bacterium RIFCSPLOWO2_02_FULL_62_12. RNAcentral describes it as "tRNA-His". It matches the Rfam family "tRNA". Rfam says of the family: Transfer RNA (tRNA) molecules are approximately 80 nucleotides in length. Their secondary structure includes four short double-helical elements and three loops (D, anti-codon, and T loops). Lineage: Bacteria; Candidatus Lindowiibacteriota. The record is from RNAcentral. RNAcentral also lists the same sequence under 1 other name.